UUCUAGCCUCCGAUUGGAACGGUAUCCUUUUUUGAGGAGGAACGACGAAAAAAAGAUAUAGUGGAAAGCGGGACCGGUU
Molecule: small RNA, 79 nt
Filed under: Kaistella antarctica
Lineage: Bacteria; Pseudomonadati; Bacteroidota; Flavobacteriia; Flavobacteriales; Weeksellaceae
Description: Chryseobacterium antarcticum Flavo-1 RNA
Rfam family: Flavo-1 RNA
Source: RNAcentral